This is a long non-coding RNA of Oncorhynchus keta (chum salmon), 1024 nucleotides long. RefSeq lists it as uncharacterized. The transcript has 7 exons. NCBI's taxonomy places the organism in Eukaryota, Metazoa, Chordata, Actinopteri, Salmoniformes, Salmonidae. The record is from RefSeq and is a predicted model, not a curated record.
GGCCAAGGUCCUGGAGGGAGAUACAGAGAUCUACUAUAAUACAGGCCAAGGUCCUGGAGGGAGAUACAGAGAUCUACUAUAAUACAGGCCAAGGUCCUGGAGGGAGAUACAGAGAUCUACUAUAAUACAGGCCAAGGUCCUGGAGGGAGACACAGAGAUCUACUAUAAUACAGACCAAGGUCCUGGAGGGAGAUACAGAGAUCUACUAUAAUACAGGCCAAGGUCCUGGAGGGAGAUACAGAGAUCUACUAUAAUACAGGCCAAGGUCCUGGAGGGAGAUACAGAGAUCUACUAUAAUACAGGCCAAGGUCCUGGAGGGAGAUACAGAGAUCUACUAUAAUACAGGCCAAGGUCCUGGAGGGAGACACAGAGAUCUACUAUAAUACAGGCCAAGGUCCUGGAGGGAGACACAGAGAUCUACUAUAAUACAGGCCAAGGUCCUGGAGGGAGACACAGAGAUCUACUAUAAUACAGGCCAAGGUCCUGGAGGGAGAUACAGAGAUCUACUAUAAUACAGGCCAAGGUCCUGGAGGGAGAUACAGAGAUCUACUAUAAUACAGGCCAAGGUCCUGGAGGGAGAUACAGAGAUCUACUAUAACACAGGCCAAGGUCCUGGAGGGAGAUACAGAGAUCUACUAUAAUACAGGCCAAGGUCCUGGAGGGAGAUACAGAGAUCUACUAUAAUACAGGCCAAGGUCCUGGAGGGAGAUACAGAGAUCUACUAUAAUACAGGCCAAGGUCCUGGAGGGAGAUACAGAGAUCUACUAUAAUACAGGCCAAGGUCCUGGAGGGAGAUACAGAGAUCUACUAUAAUACAGGCCAAGGUCCUGGAGGGAGAUACAGAGAUCUACUAUAAUACAGGCCAAGGUCCUGGAGGGAGAUACAGAGAUCUACUAUAAUACAGGCCAAGGUCCUGGAGGGAGAUACAGAGAUCUACUAUAAUACAGGCCAAGGUCCUGGAGGGAGAUACAGAGAUCUACUAUAACACAGGCCAAGGUCCUGGAGGGAGAUACAGAGAUCUACU